CAGCUCGGCCUUGGGAGAGCCGGAGCACAGUAGAUAAUAAUGACCGUGCCUCUGUUAAAAGCACAACAAGCCGUGCAAUGUCAAUUGGUGAAAUCAGCAGAUCUUACUCUCGUCGUGAUCUCAACCGUGAUAAUAAGCCUUCACCUGGUGCCCAAAAGUCUAGCCGAGCUCCCAGUCGCCAAUCCCCUUCAACUCCUCCUUCUAAAGCGCCUUCUAUAUCAUUAGGAACGGGGAAAACAAAGCCAC
Molecule: unclassified non-coding RNA, 246 nt
Filed under: Hevea brasiliensis (rubber tree)
Lineage: Eukaryota; Viridiplantae; Streptophyta; Magnoliopsida; Malpighiales; Euphorbiaceae
Source: RNAcentral